GCUUUUUUUCCCAUGUGUUUGGAUCUAAUUUAGUGGAGUCUCCUUUUGGUUACCAUUUAAUUAUCCAUUUGGUCAUCAUUUUGGAAUAAAAAAUACCAAGAAAUAUAGCAAUGAGACUUCUCUCCCCCCAAUUUCUCAGUGAUUCAGAUCCUGGAACAGUUCAGAGGAACAAGAAGGCUUAAAAGGAUUAUAAUGAAACAUUAAUGAGGUUGUGUGACAAGAAGAAUAAUGUAUUUUAAUUUCUCAUCCAUAUAAUUCUUUUGUUAAAAAAAUAAAAGCAUUGUUCAUAAUGUUUCACUGUUUAAAA
Molecule: long non-coding RNA, 307 nt
Organism: Pantherophis guttatus
Lineage: Eukaryota; Metazoa; Chordata; Lepidosauria; Squamata; Colubridae
Source: RefSeq, a predicted model, not a curated record